This 432-nucleotide ribosomal RNA is filed under the name uncultured bacterium. RNAcentral's name for it is "partial 16S ribosomal RNA". It matches the Rfam family "Bacterial small subunit ribosomal RNA", at positions 29 to 507 of the family's 1533-position model. The record is from RNAcentral.
ACGAACGCUGGCGGCAUGCCUAACACAUGCAAGUCGAACGAGACCUUCGGGUCUAGUGGCGCACGGGUGCGUCACGCGUGGGAACCUGCCCUUAGGUUCGGAAUAACUCCCCGAAAGGGGUGCUAAUACCGGAUAAUGUCUUCGGACCAAAGAUUUAUCGCCUUUGGAUGGGCCCGCGUUGGAUUAGCUAGUUGGUAGGGUAAAAGCCUACCAAGGCGACGAUCCAUAGCUGGUCUGAGAGGAUGAUCAGCCACACUGGGACUGAGACACGGCCCAGACUCCUACGGGAGGCAGCAGUGGGGAAUAUUGGACAAUGGGCGAAAGCCUGAUUCAGCAAUGCCGCGUGAGUGAUGAAGGCCUUAGGGUUGUAAAGCUCUUUUACCCGGGAUGAUAAUGACAGUACCGGGAGAAUAAGCUCCGGCUAACUCCGUG